CCUACGGGAGGCAGCAGUAGGGAAUCUUCCGCAAAAAAAGAAAAGUCUGACGGAGCGACGCCGCGUGAGCGAAGAAGGUCUUCGGAUCGUAACGCUCUGUUGUUAGGGAAGAAGAAGUACCGUUCGAAUAGGGCGGUACGGUGACGGUACCUAACGAGAAAGCCCCGGCUAACUACGUGCCAGCAGCCGCGGUAAUACGUAGGGGGCGAGCGUUGUCCGGAAUUAUUGGGCGUAAAGCGCGCGCAGGCGGUCCCUUAAGUCUGAUGUGAAAGCCCACGGCUCAACCGUGGAGGGCCAUUGGAAACUGGGGGACUUGAGUGCAGAAGAGGAGAGCGGAAUUCCACGUGUAGCGGUGAAAUGCGUAGAGAUGUGGAGGAACACCAGUGGCGAAGGCGGCUCUCUGGUCUGUAACUGACGCUGAGGCGCGAAAGCGUGGGGAGCAAACAGGAUUAGAUACCCUGGUAGUCCACGCCGUAAACGAUGAGUGCUAAGUGUUAGAGGGUCCAACCCUUUAGUGCUGUAGCUAACGCGUUAAGCACUUCCGCCUGGGGGAUUACCGGCCCGCAAGGGC
RNAcentral lists this ribosomal RNA (571 nucleotides) under Geobacillus sp. ML 07. RNAcentral's name for it is "bacterial SSU rRNA". It matches the Rfam family "Bacterial small subunit ribosomal RNA", at positions 338 to 895 of the family's 1533-position model. Lineage: Bacteria; Bacillati; Bacillota; Bacilli; Caryophanales; Anoxybacillaceae. The record is from RNAcentral.